Molecule: ribosomal RNA, 672 nt
Filed under: uncultured Pisolithus
Lineage: Eukaryota; Fungi; Basidiomycota; Agaricomycetes; Boletales
Description: eukaryotic LSU rRNA
Rfam family: 5.8S ribosomal RNA (bases 244-398)
Source: RNAcentral
CUUGGUCAUUUAGAGGAAGUAAAAGUCGUAACAAGGUUUCCGUAGGUGAACCUGCGGAAGGAUCAUUAGCGAAACUCGAAAGGUGCGGAGGGGGGACCUUUGCCGGUCCUUCGAAGCCCUUUUUACUUUGUCCACACCUCUGUGCACCCCCGUUCGCGCGAGGUUCUUCGGAACCCUGUGUGAUGCUUAUCUCGAACUCGUAUGUCUACAGAAUGUAACCUAGUGUGUUGGAAAUGGAAAUACAACUUUCAGCAACGGAUCUCUUGGCUCUCGCAUCGAUGAAGGACGCAGCGAAUCGCGAUAAGUAAUGUGAAUUGCAGAUUUUCCGUGAAUCAUCGAAUCUUUGAACGCACCUUGCGCUCCUUGGUAUUCCGAGGAGCAUGCCUGUUUGAGUGUCAUUGAAAAUCUCAAGCCGAGCUGUUUUGACUUUGGUUGAAAAAGCCCGGAUUUUGGAGUGUUGGGAGGUCUGCAGGCAGUCCUGAUCUUUUGGGACUGCCAGCUCUCCUGAAAUGCAUUAGUGGGAUGGGCGUGCGACCAGCCUCUUCGACGUCGUAAUGCGAUCGUCGUGGACUGUGAGCUUUUUCCCCCCCUUGACUUUGCUAUUGUGUGAAGGCUUGACCUCAAAUCAGGUAGGACUACCCGCUGAACUUAAGCAUAUCAAUAAGCGGAGGA